RNAcentral lists this ribosomal RNA (2906 nucleotides) under Escherichia coli. Its description in RNAcentral is "23S ribosomal RNA". It matches the Rfam family "Bacterial large subunit ribosomal RNA". The record is from RNAcentral. Lineage: Bacteria; Pseudomonadati; Pseudomonadota; Gammaproteobacteria; Enterobacterales; Enterobacteriaceae.
GGUUAAGCGACUAAGCGUACACGGUGGAUGCCCUGGCAGUCAGAGGCGAUGAAGGACGUGCUAAUCUGCGAUAAGCGUCGGUAAGGUGAUAUGAACCGUUAUAACCGGCGAUUUCCGAAUGGGGAAACCCAGUGUGUUUCGACACACUAUCAUUAACUGAAUCCAUAGGUUAAUGAGGCGAACCGGGGGAACUGAAACAUCUAAGUACCCCGAGGAAAAGAAAUCAACCGAGAUUCCCCCAGUAGCGGCGAGCGAACGGGGAGCAGCCCAGAGCCUGAAUCAGUGUGUGUGUUAGUGGAAGCGUCUGGAAAGGCGCGCGAUACAGGGUGACAGCCCCGUACACAAAAAUGCACAUGCUGUGAGCUCGAUGAGUAGGGCGGGACACGUGGUAUCCUGUCUGAAUAUGGGGGGACCAUCCUCCAAGGCUAAAUACUCCUGACUGACCGAUAGUGAACCAGUACCGUGAGGGAAAGGCGAAAAGAACCCCGGCGAGGGGAGUGAAAAAGAACCUGAAACCGUGUACGUACAAGCAGUGGGAGCACGCUUCGGCGUGUGACUGCGUACCUUUUGUAUAAUGGGUCAGCGACUUAUAUUCUGUAGCAAGGUUAACCGAAUAGGGGAGCCGAAGGGAAACCGAGUCUUAACUGGGCGUUAAGUUGCAGGGUAUAGACCCGAAACCCGGUGAUCUAGCCAUGGGCAGGUUGAAGGUUGGGUAACACUAACUGGAGGACCGAACCGACUAAUGUUGAAAAAUUAGCGGAUGACUUGUGGCUGGGGGUGAAAGGCCAAUCAAACCGGGAGAUAGCUGGUUCUCCCCGAAAGCUAUUUAGGUAGCGCCUCGUGAAUUCAUCUCCGGGGGUAGAGCACUGUUUCGGCAAGGGGGUCAUCCCGACUUACCAACCCGAUGCAAACUGCGAAUACCGGAGAAUGUUAUCACGGGAGACACACGGCGGGUGCUAACGUCCGUCGUGAAGAGGGAAACAACCCAGACCGCCAGCUAAGGUCCCAAAGUCAUGGUUAAGUGGGAAACGAUGUGGGAAGGCCCAGACAGCCAGGAUGUUGGCUUAGAAGCAGCCAUCAUUUAAAGAAAGCGUAAUAGCUCACUGGUCGAGUCGGCCUGCGCGGAAGAUGUAACGGGGCUAAACCAUGCACCGAAGCUGCGGCAGCGACGCUUAUGCGUUGUUGGGUAGGGGAGCGUUCUGUAAGCCUGUGAAGGUGUGCUGUGAGGCAUGCUGGAGGUAUCAGAAGUGCGAAUGCUGACAUAAGUAACGAUAAAGCGGGUGAAAAGCCCGCUCGCCGGAAGACCAAGGGUUCCUGUCCAACGUUAAUCGGGGCAGGGUGAGUCGACCCCUAAGGCGAGGCCGAAAGGCGUAGUCGAUGGGAAACAGGUUAAUAUUCCUGUACUUGGUGUUACUGCGAAGGGGGGACGGAGAAGGCUAUGUUGGCCGGGCGACGGUUGUCCCGGUUUAAGCGUGUAGGCUGGUUUUCCAGGCAAAUCCGGAAAAUCAAGGCUGAGGCGUGAUGACGAAGCACUACGGUGCUGAAGCAACAAAUGCCCUGCUUCCAGGAAAAGCCUCUAAGCAUCAGGUAACAUCAAAUCGUACCCCAAACCGACACAGGUGGUCAGGUAGAGAAUACCAAGGCGCUUGAGAGAACUCGGGUGAAGGAACUAGGCAAAAUGGUGCCGUAACUUCGGGAGAAGGCACGCUGAUAUGUAGGUGAGGUCCCUCGCGGAUGGAGCUGAAAUCAGUCGAAGAUACCAGCUGGCUGCAACUGUUUAUUAAAAACACAGCACUGUGCAAACACGAAAGUGGACGUAUACGGUGUGACGCCUGCCCGGUGCCGGAAGGUUAAUUGAUGGGGUUAGCGGUAACGCGAAGCUCUUGAUCGAAGCCCCGGUAAACGGCGGCCGUAACUAUAACGGUCCUAAGGUAGCGAAAUUCCUUGUCGGGUAAGUUCCGACCUGCACGAAUGGCGUAAUGAUGGCCAGGCUGUCUCCACCCGAGACUCAGUGAAAUUGAACUCGCUGUGAAGAUGCAGUGUACCCGCGGCAAGACGGAAAGACCCCGUGAACCUUUACUAUAGCUUGACACUGAACAUUGAGCCUUGAUGUGUAGGAUAGGUGGGAGGCUUUGAAGUGUGGACGCCAGUCUGCAUGGAGCCGACCUUGAAAUACCACCCUUUAAUGUUUGAUGUUCUAACGUUGACCCGUAAUCCGGGUUGCGGACAGUGUCUGGUGGGUAGUUUGACUGGGGCGGUCUCCUCCUAAAGAGUAACGGAGGAGCACGAAGGUUGGCUAAUCCUGGUCGGACAUCAGGAGGUUAGUGCAAUGGCAUAAGCCAGCUUGACUGCGAGCGUGACGGCGCGAGCAGGUGCGAAAGCAGGUCAUAGUGAUCCGGUGGUUCUGAAUGGAAGGGCCAUCGCUCAACGGAUAAAAGGUACUCCGGGGAUAACAGGCUGAUACCGCCCAAGAGUUCAUAUCGACGGCGGUGUUUGGCACCUCGAUGUCGGCUCAUCACAUCCUGGGGCUGAAGUAGGUCCCAAGGGUAUGGCUGUUCGCCAUUUAAAGUGGUACGCGAGCUGGGUUUAGAACGUCGUGAGACAGUUCGGUCCCUAUCUGCCGUGGGCGCUGGAGAACUGAGGGGGGCUGCUCCUAGUACGAGAGGACCGGAGUGGACGCAUCACUGGUGUUCGGGUUGUCAUGCCAAUGGCACUGCCCGGUAGCUAAAUGCGGAAGAGAUAAGUGCUGAAAGCAUCUAAGCACGAAACUUGCCCCGAGAUGAGUUCUCCCUGACUCCUUGAGAGUCCUGAAGGAACGUUGAAGACGACGACGUUGAUAGGCCGGGUGUGUAAGCGCAGCGAUGCGUUGAGCUAACCGGUACUAAUGAACCGUGAGGCUUAACCUU